Molecule: ribosomal RNA, 274 nt
Filed under: uncultured bacterium
Lineage: Bacteria
Description: partial 16S ribosomal RNA
Rfam family: Bacterial small subunit ribosomal RNA
Source: RNAcentral
AUACGGAGGUUGCAAGCGUUACUCGGAAUCACGGGGCGUAAAGCGCGCGCAGGCGGGCUGAUAAGUUGGAUGUGAAAGCCUACGGCUCAACCGUAGAACUGCAUCCAAAACUGUCAGUCUAGAGUCUGGGAGGGGAAGAUGGAAUUAGUUGUGUAGGGGUAAAAUCCGUAGAGAUAACUAGGAAUACCAAAAGCGAAGGCGAUCUUCUGGAACAGUACUGACGCUGAGGCGCGAAAGCGUGGGGAGCAAACAGGAUUAGAAACCCUAGUAGUCC